Molecule: ribosomal RNA, 251 nt
Filed under: uncultured prokaryote
Description: partial 16S rRNA
Rfam family: Bacterial small subunit ribosomal RNA
Source: RNAcentral
ACGGAGGAUGCGAGCGUUAUCCGGAUUUAUUGGGUUUAAAGGGUGCGUAGGCGGAUUAAUAAGUCAGUGGUGAAAACCUGCAGCUUAACUGUAGAACUGCCAUUGAUACUGUUAGUCUUGAGUACGGUCAAGGUAGGCGGAAUGAGUAAUGUAUCGGUUCCAUGCUUAGAUAUUACCCAUCACACCGAUUUCUUUGGCAGCUUACUGUUCCAUUACUGACGCUGAUGCACGAAAGCUUUUGGAUCGAACUG